Molecule: transfer RNA, 64 nt
Filed under: Nuttallochiton mirandus
Lineage: Eukaryota; Metazoa; Mollusca; Polyplacophora; Chitonida; Mopaliidae
Description: tRNA-Asp
Source: RNAcentral
AAGGGUCUAGUUAAAGUAUAAUGCAGGCUUGUCGAGCCUUAGUUACUAGUCUUAGUGAUUCUUU